Molecule: ribosomal RNA, 252 nt
Filed under: uncultured bacterium
Lineage: Bacteria
Description: partial 16S ribosomal RNA
Rfam family: Bacterial small subunit ribosomal RNA
Source: RNAcentral
UACGUAGGGCGCAAGCGUUGUCCGGAAUUAUUGGGCGUAAAGAGCUCGUAGGCGGUUUGUCGCGUCGGGAGUGAAAACGCCGUGCUUAACACGGCGCUUGCUUUCGAUACGGGCAGACUAGAGGUAUGCAGGGGAGAACGGAAUUCCUGGUGUAGCGGUGAAAUGCGCAGAUAUCAGGAGGAACACCGGUGGCGAAGGCGGUUCUCUGGGCAUUACCUGACGCUGAGGAGCGAAAGUGUGGGAGCGAACAGG